Molecule: ribosomal RNA, 124 nt
Filed under: Neogale vison (American mink)
Lineage: Eukaryota; Metazoa; Chordata; Mammalia; Carnivora; Mustelidae
Source: RNAcentral
GUCUACGGCCAUACCACCCUGAACGCGCCCGAUCUCGUCUGAUCUCGGAAGCUAAGCAGGGUCGGGCCUGGUUAGUACUGGGAUGGGAGAAAAGGACAAAGGGGGAUUUAUGUGGCAAUAAAGC